Molecule: small RNA, 28 nt
Filed under: Bombyx mori (domestic silkworm)
Lineage: Eukaryota; Metazoa; Arthropoda; Insecta; Lepidoptera; Bombycidae
Description: ovarian small RNA-23005
Source: RNAcentral
UAGUCGCCAGUAUGCUUGGUGUGAGGGC